Molecule: ribosomal RNA, 1420 nt
Filed under: metagenome
Description: bacterial SSU rRNA
Rfam family: Bacterial small subunit ribosomal RNA
Source: RNAcentral
GAACGCUGGCGGCGUGCUUAACACAUGCAAGUCGAACGAACCUUCGGGUUAGUGGCGGACGGGUGAGUAACGCGUGGGAACCUGCCCUCAGGAGGGGGAUAACGGUUGGAAACGGCCGCUAAUACCCCAUAUGCCGAGAGGUGAAAUGAAUUUCGCCUGAGGAUGGGCCCGCGUCUGAUUAGCUAGUUGGUGGGGUAAGAGCCUACCAAGGCGACGAUCAGUAGCUGGUCUGAGAGGAUGAUCAGCCACACUGGGACUGAGACACGGCCCAGACUCCUACGGGAGGCAGCAGUGGGGAAUUUUCCGCAAUGGGCGAAAGCCUGACGGAGCAACGCCGCGUGAGGGAUGAAGGCCUCUGGGCUGUAAACCUCUUUUCUCAAGGAAGAAGACCUGACGGUACUUGAGGAAUAAGCCACGGCUAAUUCCGUGCCAGCAGCCGCGGUAAUACGGGUGUGGCAAGCGUUAUCCGGAAUUAUUGGGCGUAAAGCGUCCGCAGGUGGCCCUGUAAGUCUGUCGUUAAAGCGUGGAGCUUAACUCCAUUUAAGCGAUGGAAACUACAGGGCUAGAGUGUGGUAGGGGCAGAGGGAAUUCCCGGUGUAGCGGUGAAAUGCGUAGAUAUCGGGAAGAACACCAGUGGCGAAGGCGCUCUGCUGGGCCAUCACUGACACUCAUGGACGAAAGCCAGGGGAGCGAAAGGGAUUAGAUACCCCUGUAGUCCUGGCCGUAAACGAUGAACACUAGGUGUCGGGGGAAUCGACCCCCUCGGUGUCGUAGCCAACGCGUUAAGUGUUCCGCCUGGGGAGUACGCACGCAAGUGUGAAACUCAAAGGAAUUGACGGGGGCCCGCACAAGCGGUGGAGUAUGUGGUUUAAUUCGAUGCAACGCGAAGAACCUUACCAGGGUUUGACAUCCUGCGAAUCCCUUGGAAACGAGGGAGUGCCUUCGGGAGCGCAGUGACAGGUGGUGCAUGGCUGUCGUCAGCUCGUGUCGUGAGAUGUUGGGUUAAGUCCCGCAACGAGCGCAACCCACGUCGUUAGUUGCCAGCAUUCAGUUGGGCACUCUAGCGAGACCGCCGGUGAUAAACCGGAGGAAGGUGUGGAUGACGUCAAGUCAUCAUGCCCCUUACAUCCUGGGCUACACACGUACUACAAUGCUACGGACAAAGGGCAGCGAUCCCGCGAGGGCUAGCAAAUCCCAUAAACCGUGGCUCAGUUCAGAUCGUAGGCUGCAACUCGCCUACGUGAAGGAGGAAUCGCUAGUAAUCGCAGGUCAGCAUACUGCGGUGAAUACGUUCCCGGGCCUUGUACACACCGCCCGUCACACCAUGGAAGUUGGCCACGCCCGAAGUCGUUACUCCAACCCUUGUGGAGGAGGACGCCGAAGGUGGGGCUGAUGACUGGGGUGAAGUCGGAACAAGGUA